UGGGGAAUAUUGCACAAUGGGCGCAAGCCUGAUGCAGCCAUGCCGCGUGUGUGAAGAAGGCCUUCGGGUUGUAAAGCACUUUCAGCGGGGAGGAAGGCGAUAAGGUUAAUAACCUUGUCGAUUGACGUUACGCGCAGAAGAAGCACCGGCUAACUCCGUGCCAGCAGCCGCGGUAAUACGGAGGGUGCAAGCGUUAAUCGGAAUUACUGGGCGUAAAGCGCACGCAGGCGGUCUGUCAAGUCGGAUGUGAAAUCCCCGGGCUUAACCUGGGAACUGCAUUCGAAACUGGCAGGCUAGAGUCUUGUAGAGGGGGGUAGAAUUCCAGGUGUAGCGGUGAAAUGCGUAGAGAUCUGGAGGAAUACCGGUGGCGAAGGCGGCCCCCUGGACAAAGACUGACGCUCAGGUGCGAAAGCGUGGGGAGCAAACAGG
RNAcentral lists this ribosomal RNA (429 nucleotides) under Chloroflexota bacterium. RNAcentral's name for it is "Chloroflexi bacterium partial 16S ribosomal RNA". It matches the Rfam family "Bacterial small subunit ribosomal RNA", at positions 355 to 776 of the family's 1533-position model. The record is from RNAcentral. Lineage: Bacteria; Bacillati; Chloroflexota.